GACGAACGCUGGCGGCGUGCUUAACACAUGCAAGUCGAACGGAAAGGCCCGGCGUUUGUGGGUUUCUCGUUUGGCGAACACGUGAGUAUCACGUGUGGAACCUGCACUUGUCUGUGUGGGAACAUCUGGGGACUGGGGCGAUUACACCGUAGGAUCUCCUGCUGCACGUUGGUGGUUAGAAAGUGACGGCGGUGUGGGAUGGAUUCGCGGGUUAUCAGCUAGUUUGGGGGGUAGUGGCUUACCAGGGCUUUGACGGGUAGCCGGCAUGGGAGGGUUACCGGCCACAUUGGGACUGCGAUACGGCGCAGAAUCCAACGGGCGGCAGUAGUGGGGAAUAUUGCACAAUGGGCGGACGCCUGAUGUAGCAACGCCGCGUGCGGGAUGCUGGCUUUCGGGUUGUAAACAGCUUUCGAAUGUGAAGAAGAGUGAGUGACGGUAACGGGUCAAGAAGCAACGGCUAACUACGUG
This 468-nucleotide ribosomal RNA is filed under the name uncultured bacterium. RNAcentral's name for it is "partial 16S ribosomal RNA". It matches the Rfam family "Bacterial small subunit ribosomal RNA", at positions 28 to 507 of the family's 1533-position model. The record is from RNAcentral.